Molecule: non-coding RNA, 212 nt
Filed under: Exiguobacterium sp.
Lineage: Bacteria; Bacillati; Bacillota; Bacilli; Caryophanales
Also listed under: 2 other names
Description: T-box sequence
Rfam family: T-box leader
About the family: Uncharged tRNA acts as the effector for transcription antitermination of genes in the T-box leader family.
Source: RNAcentral
CGAAAGUCGAUGAAAAAGAGAGUAACGAUGGUUUAGUCAACAAAGCGACCUGGGGAUUGGUGAGAGCCUGGGCUGACAAACGUCGCGAAACGCACUUUUGAGAUGCUAUCCGAAACGAGAGUAGGCAUAGCCGGAGGGAACCGUUAUCACCAUAAAGCGGUCUGCAUCAUGCAGGCAAGAAGAGUGGUACCGCGGGAAUUCCCGUCUCUUUG